UACGUAGGGUGCGAGCGUUAAUCGGAAUUACUGGGCGUAAAGCGUGCGCAGGCGGUUUGCUAAGACAGGUGUGAAAGCCCCGGGCUUAACCUGGGAAUUGCGCUUGUGACUGGCAGACUGGAGUGUGGCAGAGGGAGGUGGAAUUCCACGUGUAGCAGUGAAAUGCGUAGAGAUGUGGAGGAACACCUGCGGUGUAGACGGCUUACUGGACCGUAACUGACGCUGAGGCACGAAAGCGUGGGGAGCAAACAGG
This 253-nucleotide ribosomal RNA is filed under the name uncultured bacterium. Its description in RNAcentral is "partial 16S ribosomal RNA". It matches the Rfam family "Bacterial small subunit ribosomal RNA", at positions 524 to 776 of the family's 1533-position model. The record is from RNAcentral.